AACAAUUGUCCUUUUUUUAACAAAGUCCUUAGGACAAUACCAAAGUCUUACAAAAAGAGGAUAAAUUUCAAACAAUUUUAGGAUUCAAGUUGUUAAAAUAUGAAGAAAAUGAUCCUGCGCAUGAAUGUUAAAUAGAAGAGAAUGACAACAACGCAAUAGGAUAGCUUCUGCACGUAGUAGCUUGCAAUGCAAGUUAUUUAGUUAGGAUAUUUCCCUCCCUUUGUAAGUGACUUCAAGCUAGUAUACUCUACUUGCUAGCGUAGAUUUAUAUUUCUCUCCCUUUGUAAGUGACUUCAAGCUUUGAAUAAUAAUGAUAAUGAUUCAAUCAAUUCUCUCAUUACUCUGUCUAGUUAGUUUGAAUGCAGUGUGUAAGUAUGAAUUUAAUGUGAUAAAAAAUGUUACAAUUACACACCACUCCAAAAGGGGCAAGAGAACCCAAUAAAUCACCAAGGCCAAAUGAACCCAAAAACUACAGAUCAAAAGAGUAGCCACUACAAACAUUGGGCCAUAGCGCCACGCCAGCCACUAAUAGGAAAACUACAAAUACAGGAAAAACAAAACUGAUAGGCACAGAAGCUGCAUAGGCUACGCCAAAGCACACAGUAAUCCACAAAACCCUAACCAGAUCAUGAUAGGAUCUAAAAGCUAUCAAGCUAAGAAACUAUGGAAAACUACACUAUCACGAUGAAAAACAAUAAAAUUAUCUAAGAGAGUAAAAGAUAAACAUUCUUCAUUUUGGAGAUGUUGCUCAAGACUUUAUGUAGAAACUUUUCUGAUGGUUAGCAGUUUCAGCACCUCCAGUAAGGGAGGGGGAAGCUGCAGCCAUUAGGUGGGUAGCUAAGAUGGGAGUGUAGAUGGAAUAGUAGCAUUCAUGUCGUCAACUGUUUUACCUAUCUCUCUCUCUCUCCAUAAUUUUGGUGAAAAAUGCAGUUAUUUUGCUUCAUCCAUAUAGAGUCACUGUGAUA
This 965-nucleotide long non-coding RNA is filed under the name Trifolium pratense (red clover). Its description in RNAcentral is "long non-coding RNA (TPRA_LNC008811)". The record is from RNAcentral. Lineage: Eukaryota; Viridiplantae; Streptophyta; Magnoliopsida; Fabales; Fabaceae.